GAUGAAGAACGUAGCGAAAUGCGAUACGUAAUGUGAAUUGCAGAAUUCAGUGAAUCAUCGAAUCUUUGAACGCAUAUUGCGCUCUCUGGUAUUCCGGAGAGCAUGCUUGUUUGAGUAUCAGUAAACACCUCAACUUCCAUAUCUUUUUUGAAAUGGGAGUUGGACUUGAGUGAUCCCAACGCUUUUCCUCACCGAAAAGUGGCGGGUUACUUGAAAUGCAGGUGCAGCUGGACUUUUCUCUGAGCUAUAAGCAUAUCUAUUUAGUCUGCCUAAAAAACAGAUUAUUACCUUUGCUGCAGCUAACAUAAAGGAGAUUAGUUCUUGUGCUGACUGAUGCAGGAUUCACAAAGACAGGCUUCGGCCGACUUUGUAAACUCGAUCUCAAAUCAAGCAAGACUACCCGCUGAACUUAAGCAUAUCAAUAAGCGGAGGA
RNAcentral lists this unclassified non-coding RNA (433 nucleotides) under soil metagenome. RNAcentral's name for it is "partial contains 5.8S ribosomal RNA, internal transcribed spacer 2, and large subunit ribosomal RNA". The stretch from base 1 to 120 matches the Rfam family "5.8S ribosomal RNA", at positions 35 to 154 of the family's 154-position model. The record is from RNAcentral.